CUUUGUUUCUCCGGCGCCGGUCGAGCUGGCUGCUGGUCACAACAGCUCCUGUCCUCUUACUUCUAUUUAUCACUUUCUUCACCUACUCAAGUUUAUCUUUCUAGUGUUUUGUUAGUAGCAUUAGUGUACACAACCUGUACACAGCUUUUAUAUAGUUUUUCUAAGUGUGGCGCAGUACAAACGCUGUUUUAAAGCUACGAUGUGCGUCGGGGCCAGAGCGCGCAUCGUUUACACCGCGGAGCAGCUGAUCGCGCUGCGCAGCGCCGUAGUUCUGCCCAGAGACAGACACGAGAUCACCGCUGAGGUGCUGCUGUGUAAUAAUUGCUGUGUACGUCCCACCCUCCGCUAACGCUGACACAGCUUCUGAGACCCUGCUCUCAGUCACCAGCAGGCUGCAAACACAGCACCCACAGGCCCUCUUCCUGAUCUCUGGGGACUUUAACCAUGCACCUCCUUCAGCUGCUCUGCCUACAUACACCCAGUAUGUGACCUGCCCCACCAGAGUCAACAAAACCCCAGACUUAUUCUAUGCCAACACCAAAGAGGCCUACACUGCACCCUCCCUCCCACCGUUGGGCAGAGCUGACCACAACAUCCUGCAAACCUUUUGUCACCUCAUACCACUGGAUUACCAGCCCCCACAGCCCUUCACACCUUUACACAAAGCCCUCUACCCUCAGCCCUGACGACUGGUGACUCAUCCCAACAACACCGCCUCACUUCACACAACACUGAGACACUGCCUCAACCCCUAUCCUUCUCCAGCACCCAGGUGAGAAGUGAGCUCAGGAAGAUCAAGGCCAGGAAAGCAGCUGGACCAGACGGCAUCAGCUCCAGACUCCUAAAGUCCUGCGCAGGCGAACUGUGCAGAGUUAUGGAGCAUGUCUUCAACCUGAGCCUCAAGCUGAGGGUGGUACCACAGCUCUGCAAGACCUCCUGCGUGGUACCAGUGCCCAAGACACCACACGCUAAAGACCCCAGCAGCUUCAGACCAGCGGCUCUGACAUCACACCUGAUGAAGACAUUGGAGAGACUGGUCCUGGGUCACCUCCGCUCUGCAGUGGGAACCUACCUGGACCCGCUGCAGUUCGCCUACCGACACGGCAUAAGAGCAGACGACGCCGUCAUCUUCCUCCUACAUCGAGCUCUUUCUCACCUAGAGAAGCCCGGCAGCACUGUGAGGAUCAUGUUCUUUGACUUCUCCAGUGCCUUCAACACCAUCCAGCCGGUGCCUUGCAUUCUGCAAGGAGGAGGAGAUCCCCACUGCUUCCAGCUGCUUCUCAGCCAAUAUGAGAUCCAGUUUGGGCAGUACCGGGGACAGACCUUCAAGUGGCUCCUGAGUCACGACGUGGGCUACGCUGUGUCCCUGCUGGCCUCACACCAGAAGGAGCGGGAGAGUGGUGACACAUCCAGCUCACCACUUAUGGCCAACAAGGUGCUGUGGAGUACAACACAGAAAUAUCUCACUCAUCCUAGUACAGUAAAAGUAGAGCCAUCAUUAGAACUAUUAUACGGAUCCCAACUCACACAGCUCAAUCAGAGCAAUCAUCAAGAAAUUCCUAUUUCUGUCAUAAUACACAUAUUCUGUUCUCCCGCUACACAGGAUGCCCUCACCUCCUACAGCAAGCUGUUCCCAGAGGUGAUGUCAGCCGUGGAGGGAUGCCGUGCCACGGAGGGUUCCAAGUCUGUCCGGAGCCAAGACAAGAAGUUGGUGGAGUUCGGCCCCCACGGAGCCAUGACCUACGCCUCCAUGUACGAGGCCACGGGGAAAGAGGUUGAGACCUACGUGCAGUGGCUGAGGAAGAAGAAGUGCAUCCCAGGCAGCUCUCUGCAUGCUUUAAAGACCUACAUACUGGGCCGGGACCAGGAGAAGAACCAGCAUCCCUCCCAGCAGCCCCAGUGCCCACCAUCUGACGGUGUUGUGCUCCCAGUUGCUGUUCCUGCUGCCUCCACGCGUGUCUCUGAAAAGCUGAUUUCUUUGUCUUCUCUGUGUGAAACAGCUGCUAACGAGCCCUCAGACGAGAUGCUCCUGGCUGCUGCCUUAGAGGUGGAGAGUCAGCAGGUCCCAUCUUCAGCCUCCACUCCUGUGCCCGUUGAUGACCUGGACCUGUCUUCCAGUGGUGACAGCAGCGUCGCCGUGCGGCCCAGGACCAGAGCUGCAGCCGCAGCUGAGGGCUGUCCUAAACCCUCGCGGCCAAUUAGUGGCUCAGAGGUGAGACACCCCCCUCCCUCCCUCUGCAGGGCAGCUCCCCCACUGUGCUUCAAAUUGUUUGGCUUGUGCUCACCUUUUGUCUGUUUCUGUGGUGAAGUUGCUGCCUGCAUCCCCCACUGUGCUUCACAUUGUUUGGCUUGUGCUGACCUUUUGUCUGUUUCUGUGUUGAAGCUGCUGCCUCACAGCUGGAGGCAGACUCUGCCGGAGGAGCAGCAGGACUGGGUGGGCCGGGCUCUGUUCACCAGGAACGCCAGGGGCCAGCGUGUCCUCACCACCGACCUUCGCCUCUGGUGGUACCCUCCCGGAGCCCGGCCCCUCUACACCCAGACCCCUGCAUCGUCCCACGCCUUCUUCCAGAGGCCGUUCUUCCUGUGGCUGCCCUACAAGAUGUGGGCGUGCAGGCUUGUGUGCCCCAGCUGUGACACGAAGCUGACCGGCGCAGGACUGCACAAGACGGUGCGCAGGGUUCUGGACAGGGACGGCUGGUACUUUAUGGGCACAGAGUGCCUGGAAUGUCGUUCCUGUGGGAAGAAGAUGGCCGCCUGGGUCCCGGACAUCAUCAAUCAGUUGGACCCGGGUCACCGGAAUCAAUUCCCGGCUGUACUCACCUACAAGUAA
This 2830-nucleotide long non-coding RNA is filed under the name Betta splendens (Siamese fighting fish). RNAcentral describes it as "lncRNA (ENSBSLG00000023108.1)". The record is from RNAcentral. Lineage: Eukaryota; Metazoa; Chordata; Actinopteri; Anabantiformes; Osphronemidae.